Molecule: ribosomal RNA, 442 nt
Filed under: uncultured bacterium
Lineage: Bacteria
Description: partial 16S ribosomal RNA
Rfam family: Bacterial small subunit ribosomal RNA
Source: RNAcentral
CCUACGGGUGGCAGCAGUGGGGAAUAUUGGGCAAUGGGCGCAAGCCUGACCCAGCAACGCCGCGUGAAGGAAGAAGGCUUUCGGGUUGUAAACCUCUUUUAAGGGGGAAGAGCAGAAGACGGUACCCCUUGAAUCAGCCACGGCUAACUACGUGCCAGCAGCCGCGGUAAUACGUAGGUGGCAAGCGUUGUCCGGAUUUACUGGGUGUAAAGGGCGUGCAGGCGGAGAGACAAGUCAGAUGUGAAAUCCACGGGCUCAACCCGUGAACUGCAUUUGAAACUGGUUCCCUUGAGUGUCGGAGAGGUAAGCGGAAUUCCUGGUGUAGCGGUGAAAUGCGUAGAUAUAAGGAAGAACACCAGUGGCGAAGGCGGAUUACUGGACGAUAACUGACGGUGAGGCGCGAAAGCGUGGGGAGCAAACAGGAUUAGAUACCCGGGUAGUC